UCUCUGGUAGUCCAGUGAUUAAGAUUCUACAUUCCCAGUGCAGGGGGCCUGGGUUCAAACCCCUGGUCAGGGAA
Molecule: transfer RNA, 74 nt
Filed under: Bos taurus (domestic cattle)
Lineage: Eukaryota; Metazoa; Chordata; Mammalia; Artiodactyla; Bovidae
Also listed under: 3 other names
Rfam family: tRNA
About the family: Transfer RNA (tRNA) molecules are approximately 80 nucleotides in length. Their secondary structure includes four short double-helical elements and three loops (D, anti-codon, and T loops).
Source: Rfam by way of RNAcentral